GAGAAGAACGUAGCGAAAUGCGAUAAGUAAUGUGAAUUGCAGAAUUCAGUGAAUCAUCGAAUCUUUGAACGCACAUUGCGCCCGCCAGUAUUCUGGCGGGCACGCCUGUUCGAGCGUCAUUACAACCCUCAGGCCCCCGGGCCUGGCGUUGGGGAUCGGCAGAAGCCCCCUGUGGGCACACGCCGUCCCUCAAAUACAGUGGCGGUCCCGCCGCAGCUUCCAUUGCGUAGUAGCUAACACCUCGCAACUGGAGAGCGGCGCGGCCAUGCCGUAAAACACCCAACUUCUGAAUGUUGACCUCGAAUCAGGUAGGAAUACCCGCUGAACUUAAGCAUAUCAAUAAGCGGAGGA
Molecule: unclassified non-coding RNA, 351 nt
Filed under: soil metagenome
Description: partial contains 5.8S ribosomal RNA, internal transcribed spacer 2, and large subunit ribosomal RNA
Rfam family: 5.8S ribosomal RNA (bases 3-119)
Source: RNAcentral